UUUUCAAUAGAUCAUAGACAUACAACAUGCAUGUUUUCUCUAUCAGAUUUUUGUUACAUAGACAAGCAUGAUCUCAUGUUUUCGAGUAUUAAUUUGCUUUAGAAAAGUCUUUGCAAUGCUUGAAGGAAUUGGGGGAAUUUUGCUAUUACAAUAAUGAAAGUUGAGAACACCAUUGUCUAAGCAGGUGAAAGAAUGAAGUUGGAAACACCAUCAUCUUGCGGUCGUCGAUCCUUUCUCUGCACAAGAUUAAAAUCUUGAUUUUACUAAGUAGUGCCAUCGAGAAAUCUCAACUCAUAAUUGUCCAUUAAUGCAAUGUUAGCAACCGGUGGUUUCCGGGAUUAGCACCAUAGAUGGGUAGUUGCUUGUAACAAGACUGCUAGAAGGAAAGCUACUAAUGCAAUGUAAGGAAUUUCUAUGCAUAUCAUCUGGGGCCUGACAGACUUUUUUUCUUUCUUGCUGGAGUCCCUGGGUCGAAGUCCUGCACAAAAAGCUAAAGAUCAUGCAAUAUGCACAAGGAUUCCAUGUAUUCAAUAAAAGAAGGUGGCCAAGAAAAAAAAAGAAAAGAAGAAAAAAACUGUUGUCAGAUAGACAUGCGAAGAGGAUUAGGUAUUAGAAAAAAAUGAGCAAUCAGGUCAGGAUAUGUAACUGAAAGGACGAGAAUGAUGCAGAAUAUCAAACAGUUGCCGAGUUGUAUAACAUCCAUCCCUGGCUUGCUGUAGCAGCUGCAAAAUAUGAAGAAUAAA
This 743-nucleotide long non-coding RNA is filed under the name Phoenix dactylifera (date palm). RNAcentral describes it as "long non-coding RNA (PDAC_LNC017476)". The record is from RNAcentral. Lineage: Eukaryota; Viridiplantae; Streptophyta; Magnoliopsida; Arecales; Arecaceae.